UAGCUCAGCGGUAGAGCAGUUGGCUGUUAACCAACUGGUCGGUGGUUCGAAUCC
Molecule: transfer RNA, 54 nt
Filed under: Escherichia coli
Lineage: Bacteria; Pseudomonadati; Pseudomonadota; Gammaproteobacteria; Enterobacterales; Enterobacteriaceae
Description: tRNA-Asn
Rfam family: tRNA
About the family: Transfer RNA (tRNA) molecules are approximately 80 nucleotides in length. Their secondary structure includes four short double-helical elements and three loops (D, anti-codon, and T loops).
Source: RNAcentral